CUGAUCGAGGAUGUGCUGGCGGCUAUCUGACGUAUGUGCACUCCUUAACCUCACACACCUGUGCACCAUUGUAGUCUAGCAUCAAAGGGAGCUUAGGUUCUCUGCUGGACUAUGUUUUACACACUCUUAUUAAUGUAUAGAAUGUACCAUGACCGUAACAAGUCAUAUAAAUUUAAUA
RNAcentral lists this unclassified non-coding RNA (178 nucleotides) under uncultured fungus. RNAcentral describes it as "sequence contains ITS1, 5.8S rRNA gene". The record is from RNAcentral. Lineage: Eukaryota; Fungi.